This 426-nucleotide long non-coding RNA is filed under the name Bos taurus (domestic cattle). RNAcentral's name for it is "long non-coding RNA NONBTAT019554". The record is from RNAcentral. Lineage: Eukaryota; Metazoa; Chordata; Mammalia; Artiodactyla; Bovidae.
GGUAUAUAUUCAUUAAGAUUCCUGCACCAUUAUGAAAUAUUAAAACUUGCCUCUUUAAAUCACUUGUAUAAGUAUGAAUUUUAAUUUUAGUAUUUGAAGCUUUGCUAGGUGAAGAUUUCCAGCAGCUCAAAAGUUCUUAUGGUCAAUAUUGGCAGAUUAAGUAGGGAAGUUUGGUACUAUGAGAAUGUUUGUUGGUCCUAAAAAGAUAACUUUAACCUGGAACCAAGGUUGAGCUAUUUCCUUAGUCUUAGUUAUAGACUUGGUAGUUUGAAAACAAGACAGAAUUUUUAAUACUUUAAGUAGUACAAAGAUUUUAAAAUUAAACUUUUUUGUCCACUCUCAAUAUAAAUUGGGCCUUUUUCCUAUAAGAAUUCUUGAGUAAUUUCAGGGAUCUGUAUUACAUAUAAGUAAAUGUUUCAUUCCCCU